This is a long non-coding RNA of Cyprinus carpio (common carp), 911 nucleotides long. RefSeq lists it as uncharacterized. NCBI's taxonomy places the organism in Eukaryota, Metazoa, Chordata, Actinopteri, Cypriniformes, Cyprinidae. The transcript has 2 exons. The record is from RefSeq and is a predicted model, not a curated record.
CUAAAGGCCUUCAGUUUGUUUACAUUUGAAUUUUGACAGAGUUUGAAUAGUCUUGGCUCAUCUGAACAUUUCGUCAAUGUAAGUCUGUGGGAUUUUGAUGAUUUUUAAUCUUCAUUUUUAGGAAAACCGUAAGUCGUAAUUAGAGGAGCAAGUGACUGUUUCUCCAGACAGAUCUGUGCUUAUAUCACUAUGAAACAAUAUCUCACAUUCAGCUCUGUGUGUCUGUUCAGUCCUGAAGCACAUGACAGUUUCAAACAGCAGCAUUGAGCAUCAACAUGCAGAAAUCUCAUUCUAUCAGCAGCAGUUUGUGGCAAUGCUUGUCAUUAUAUCUCCUCUCCUGCUCUGAGACCAGAGUCAAUAACAAACUACACACACUUCAACUACAAUUAACACUGUGUCAUUGUUCUCUACAGGUUGAGAGAUUGUGGCGUCACAGAUGAAGGUUGUUCUGCUCUGGCUUCAGCUCUGAGAUCAAACCCCUCACACCUGAGAGAACUGAAUCUGUCUGGGAAUAAACUACAAAAAUCAGAAGUGAAGUUACUCUCUGAUCUGAAAGAUGAUCCAAAUUAUAAACUGGAGAGAUUAUACUACUUCUAGGACUCUCAGUAUUUAGACGUCAGUUCAGUUUCCUCAGGAUCAGCUGAUGGUGAAUAAGAGCCGCUACAGAGACGUCACAGUCACACAAUCAACAGAGACUGAAGACACAAGAACAGAACAGAAGUAGAGACAUAAAAAAAAUUAUUAACAAAAUCAAACUACAACAAAAAACAAAACCAAAAGAAGAACACAGAAUGUAAGAGUCAGGAAUCAGUGAUGUAAAGUUAAAGUGAAUGCAUGGAAGUGUAAUGUGUGUAGCAGUGUUGAUGUACAGAAGAAACAAGCUUCAAGGAAACUAAGCAAAUUCAGCUCUC